GCAUGCAAGUCGAACGGUAGCAGUGCUUCGGCUCUGUGAGAGUGGCGGACGGGUGAGUAACACGUAGGUGAUCUACCCUUUGAGUUGGGGAUAGCCGGAGUGGAAACAUGGGGUAAUACCGAAUACGUUCAGGAAGCUGUGGCUUUCUGAGGAAAAGCGCUUCGGCGCUGCUUGAGGAUGAGCCUGCGGCUGAUUAGCUAGUUGGUGGGGUAAGAGCCCACCAAGGCGACGAUCAGUAGCCGGCCUGAGAGGGUGAGCGGCCACACUGGGACUGAGAUACGGCCCAGACUCCUACGGGAGGCAGCAGCUAAGAAUCUUCCGCAAUGGACGAAAGUCUGACGGAGCGACGCCGCGUGGGUGAUGAAGGCCGGAAGGUUGUAAAGCCCUUUUCUAUCUGAGGAAUAAGCACAGGAGGCAAUGCCUGUGUGAUGACGGUAGGGUAGGAAUAAGCCCCGGCCAAUUACGUGCCAGCAGCCGCGGUAACACGUAUGGGGCGAGCGUUGUUCGGAAUCAUUGGGCGUAAAGGGCGCGCAGGCGGUUAUGCAAGCCUGGUGUGAAAGACCGCAGCUCAAACUGCGGGAUCGCGCUGGGAACUGUGUGAACUAGAGUUCAAGAGGGGGAGCUGGAAUCCCUGGUGUAGGGGUGAAA
RNAcentral lists this ribosomal RNA (648 nucleotides) under uncultured organism. RNAcentral's name for it is "bacterial SSU rRNA". It matches the Rfam family "Bacterial small subunit ribosomal RNA", at positions 53 to 686 of the family's 1533-position model. The record is from RNAcentral.